UUUUAUUUUGGACCUUGUUCAUAAUAUGUUUAGAAACUGCAGGAUUCACUCAAGUUUGAAAUUAGAGAGGAGAUGGUGGUAAAUAAUGAUGAAGGAUUUAUGAAGAGGAGGAUGGAUUUGGAAACCCAAGAUUAUGGAGAUACUGGAGCAAAUAGAGAUCAUGACCCAAAACCUCCCACUAAUGUCUAAAAUAUACAUCAAACUUAUCUUGUGUAUCUCUUUUUGUCUCUAUUUAUGUCUUCGUCUAAUUAAAAAUUGUUAUAUAAUUAAAAAGAAAAAUCAUAAAAAAAACAACUUAUAUUUUUAUAUUACUUGAUGUAAUUUGAUCAAAAGACAUUAUUUUUUUGGAAUUCGAGAAGGAGGCUCUAAGUAUGUGUUUCCUUAUCUUAUAAAUACAAUAGGUUAAUGUAUAUGUUUUUUUCUAUCUUUAUUUUUAGUUAUCUUGCUCACAUUUAUAUCUUUGUUGUUCUACAUAGAUAUCAUUCUUAUCAAAAUAUGAAACCCCACCCUUCAACUAUGGUGGAUCCAUUACUAUUGGUUGAAGUAGUAAAGUCUCAUACCGAUUAAGAAUAUAUGAAUUGAUAAUUAUUUAUAAUAUAUAGUACGAUUGUGAUGUAGCCCGAUAUAAUCAUACCUAUAUAAGAUGAUGUAGUCUAUUAUUUGAUACAAUGAUAUAAUCUCUCAAAUAAUCUCUCAUUGAGUGAUUGAAACGUGGAAUCCACUAGCAUCUAUAAUGAGCCUAGGGAAAGGCCAAACAUGGAAAAUGCUAACCACGGAUACCAAAUCCUCAUCUUAGUAAUACCACCUCAAUAUCAACAUACUCCAAACUCAAACAAUAUAAGAUAUGGAUGGACUUUGUGUAACACCUCAGUUAUGUCAUGCAAUCUCUCAAACCCAUACAUAAUUAAGCGUGUUAUGCAGUAUUUUAUUCCCCUCUAACGGAACCUUCCGCGAUUCAAACCCGUGACCUCAGAGAUAAAUAAUCACUAUACCACUAAGUCUCGCUACCAUUAAACUAAACUUUGGGUGGAGACGUGAUUAAGUCCAACUUCACUUCAUAAAUCCCACACCCUAAUCCCAAUGAGAUCAAUUCAUAAUUAUUCGGGAUUCAUAAAAUGGUUUAAGGAAUAGAGUGUAGGAGGUUGUGAGUUUGAGUCACAUGUAUAACAAAUUUAAAAAAUAAAAAAAUGAAUUAUAAAGUAGUUUGAUAAUUAAGAUGAAUGAUUUGAGUGAAUGAUGUUGAGAGUUCAAAUCUUACCUAAAAUAAAUACUAACAUAAUAAAAAAGUUUAUAAUUAUCUUGGAAAGAUACCAAUCAAAAGAUAAAAAAUGAUAAUGAACUUCAAGAUGCAAAUAUUAGAAUAAUAUUACUUUUUACUAAUCCAACUUGAUCCAUUCAUCAUAAUCAAAUCAACAAUUGAUUAACAACUCUUAUCAUUAAGUAACAAUACACCAUAGUAAGAAGAGCCUCUCCAAACCAAGUGGUUGGAUUCUAAUCUCUAAUAUCCUCACACUCUUCAAUUGUUGAUAAAUCAAUUUAGUCAUAUAGCAAGUGUGGGAUAUCAUUCAUUCGGACUAAGAUCCUUUCAAGUUAUUUUUGUUAGUCAAAAGUAAAUAACAAUGAAAAGAGUUGACGAAAAGUAAUUUGAGACUUAUUUUCCAACAAAUUUUCUCUUAUUUUAUUAUGUUAAGGAAGUUAGAUAUAAGGUAAUUUUCUUAGUGGGUCGAUAUAAAAUUUGUAAAAUGUCAUACAUAACCCUUGUGUCAAUCUCUCUUUCACAUAAUCACAUGAGAGAAAAUUUGACAUAGAUCUGAAUCAUCAUUCACUACCUUAGAAAUAGUUAUUGUGGUUAUCUAAGUGAUGUUGUUAGGUUUUGUAUCUUCUCAAAAAUCUGGACUAGAACAAUAUAUACUGAACCUAACUUAGCUCUAAAUAUUGAAAUUAUCAUAUAAAUAAAAGUUAUAAACCAAUCAUUUGACAAGAGCAUGCAAAACUUGGUUCUUUAGUCUAUGAAGUUGGUAGCAUAUAUAUACUUUUAUUUUUAUUUCACUGUUCAUUUUAUAUCAUUAAACCAUAAUUUCUAAUUUGGAAUAAAGAUUUUAAAAGUAUAGAAUUCAAGUAGUAUAGGAAGCUUCUAGCAUCAAUCAAAGGGCGAAUUUGUUCAUUCUCAACCUUAGCCAAAAUAAUAGUUCAUGGAAUUCCAUAAGUAUCAUAUGUUUCAUAGAGACUGCUAGUUCAAAAUAAGCAUCAUAUGUUUCAAAAAUGAACAUUACUAGUUAUCUUGUUAUAAACUAUUUUGCUCUUUUUAUUUUGGACCUUGUUCAUAAUAUGUUUAGAAACUGCAGGAUUCACUCAAGUUUGAAAUUAGAGAGGAGAUGGUGGUAAAUAAUGAUGAAGGAUUUAUGAAGAGGAGGAUGGAUUUGGAAACCCAAGAUUAUGGAGAUACUGGAGCAAAUAGAGAUCAUGACCCAAAACCUCCCACUAAUGUCUAAAAUAUACAUCAAACUUAUCUUGUGUAUCUCUUUUUGUCUCUAUUUAUGUCUUCGUCUAAUUAAAAAUUGUUAUAUAAUUAAAAAGAAAAAUCAUAAAAAAAACAACUUAUAUUUUUAUAUUACUUGAUGUAAUUUGAUCAAAAGACAUUAUUUUUUUGGAAUUCGAGAAGGAGGCUCUAAGUAUGUGUUUCCUUAUCUUAUAAAUACAAUAGGUUAAUGUAUAUGUUUUUUUCUAUCUUUAUUUUUAGUUAUCUUGCUCACAUUUAUAUCUUUGUUGUUCUACAUAGAUAUCAUUCUUAUCAAAAUAUGAAACCCCACCCUUCAACUAUGGUGGAUCCAUUACUAUUGGUUGAAGUAGUAAAGUCUCAUACCGAUUAAGAAUAUAUGAAUUGAUAAUUAUUUAUAAUAUAUAGUACGAUUGUGAUGUAGCCCGA
This 2926-nucleotide long non-coding RNA is filed under the name Lupinus angustifolius (narrow-leaved blue lupine). Its description in RNAcentral is "long non-coding RNA (LANG_LNC002978)". Lineage: Eukaryota; Viridiplantae; Streptophyta; Magnoliopsida; Fabales; Fabaceae. The record is from RNAcentral.